This 1552-nucleotide ribosomal RNA is filed under the name Escherichia fergusonii. Its description in RNAcentral is "bacterial SSU rRNA". It matches the Rfam family "Bacterial small subunit ribosomal RNA". The record is from RNAcentral. Lineage: Bacteria; Pseudomonadati; Pseudomonadota; Gammaproteobacteria; Enterobacterales; Enterobacteriaceae.
AAAUUGAAGAGUUUGAUCAUGGCUCAGAUUGAACGCUGGCGGCAGGCCUAACACAUGCAAGUCGAACGGUAACAGGAAACAGCUUGCUGUUUCGCUGACGAGUGGCGGACGGGUGAGUAAUGUCUGGGAAACUGCCUGAUGGAGGGGGAUAACUACUGGAAACGGUAGCUAAUACCGCAUAACGUCGCAAGACCAAAGAGGGGGACCUUCGGGCCUCUUGCCAUCGGAUGUGCCCAGAUGGGAUUAGCUUGUAGGUGGGGUAACGGCUCACCUAGGCGACGAUCCCUAGCUGGUCUGAGAGGAUGACCAGCCACACUGGAACUGAGACACGGUCCAGACUCCUACGGGAGGCAGCAGUGGGGAAUAUUGCACAAUGGGCGCAAGCCUGAUGCAGCCAUGCCGCGUGUAUGAAGAAGGCCUUCGGGUUGUAAAGUACUUUCAGCGGGGAGGAAGGGAGUAAAGUUAAUACCUUUGCUCAUUGACGUUACCCGCAGAAGAAGCACCGGCUAACUCCGUGCCAGCAGCCGCGGUAAUACGGAGGGUGCAAGCGUUAAUCGGAAUUACUGGGCGUAAAGCGCACGCAGGCGGUUUGUUAAGUCAGAUGUGAAAUCCCCGGGCUCAACCUGGGAACUGCAUCUGAUACUGGCAAGCUUGAGUCUCGUAGAGGGGGGUAGAAUUCCAGGUGUAGCGGUGAAAUGCGUAGAGAUCUGGAGGAAUACCGGUGGCGAAGGCGGCCCCCUGGACGAAGACUGACGCUCAGGUGCGAAAGCGUGGGGAGCAAACAGGAUUAGAUACCCUGGUAGUCCACGCCGUAAACGAUGUCGACUUGGAGGUUGUGCCCUUGAGGCGUGGCUUCCGGAGCUAACGCGUUAAGUCGACCGCCUGGGGAGUACGGCCGCAAGGUUAAAACUCAAAUGAAUUGACGGGGGCCCGCACAAGCGGUGGAGCAUGUGGUUUAAUUCGAUGCAACGCGAAGAACCUUACCUGGUCUUGACAUCCACGGAAGUUUUCAGAGAUGAGAAUGUGCCUUCGGGAACCGUGAGACAGGUGCUGCAUGGCUGUCGUCAGCUCGUGUUGUGAAAUGUUGGGUUAAGUCCCGCAACGAGCGCAACCCUUAUCCUUUGUUGCCAGCGGUCCGGCCGGGAACUCAAAGGAGACUGCCAGUGAUAAACUGGAGGAAGGUGGGGAUGACGUCAAGUCAUCAUGGCCCUUACGACCAGGGCUACACACGUGCUACAAUGGCGCAUACAAAGAGAAGCGACCUCGCGAGAGCAAGCGGACCUCAUAAAGUGCGUCGUAGUCCGGAUUGGAGUCUGCAACUCGACUCCAUGAAGUCGGAAUCGCUAGUAAUCGUGGAUCAGAAUGCCACGGUGAAUACGUUCCCGGGCCUUGUACACACCGCCCGUCACACCAUGGGAGUGGGUUGCAAAAGAAGUAGGUAGCUUAACCUUCGGGAGGGCGCUUACCACUUUGUGAUUCAUGACUGGGGUGAAGUCGUAACAAGGUAACCGUAGGGGAACCUGCGGUUGGAUCACCUCCUUACCUUAAAGAA